RNAcentral lists this ribosomal RNA (244 nucleotides) under uncultured bacterium. RNAcentral's name for it is "partial 16S ribosomal RNA". It matches the Rfam family "Bacterial small subunit ribosomal RNA", at positions 127 to 353 of the family's 1533-position model. The record is from RNAcentral.
UGCCCUUCAGAGGGGGACAACAGUUGGAAACGACUGCUAAUACCGCAUACGAUCUAAUCUCGGCAUCGAGGAUAGAUGAAAGGUGGCCUCUACAUGUAAGCUAUCACUGAAGGAGGGGAUUGCGUCUGAUUAGCUGGUUGGAGGGGUAACGGCCCACCAAGGCGAUGAUCAGUAGCCGGUCUGAGAGGAUGAACGGCCACAUUGGGACUGAGACACGGCCCAGACUCCUACGGGAGGCAGCAUG